CCAUCAUGAGAGCUGAUGCAGCGACGCCGCGUGAGGGAUGACGGCCUUCGGGUUGUAAACCUCUUUCAGCAGGGAAGAAGCGAGAGUGACGGUACCUGCAGAAGAAGCGCCGGCUAACUACGUGCCAGCAGCCGCGGUAAUAAGGCCUCGCCCGGGGAAU
RNAcentral lists this ribosomal RNA (160 nucleotides) under uncultured Streptomyces sp. RNAcentral describes it as "partial 16S ribosomal RNA". It matches the Rfam family "Bacterial small subunit ribosomal RNA", at positions 369 to 540 of the family's 1533-position model. Lineage: Bacteria; Bacillati; Actinomycetota; Actinomycetes; Kitasatosporales; Streptomycetaceae. The record is from RNAcentral.